RNAcentral lists this transfer RNA (76 nucleotides) under Loxodonta africana (African savanna elephant). It matches the Rfam family "tRNA". From Rfam's summary of the family: Transfer RNA (tRNA) molecules are approximately 80 nucleotides in length. Their secondary structure includes four short double-helical elements and three loops (D, anti-codon, and T loops). Further hydrogen bonds mediate the characteristic L-shaped molecular structure. tRNAs have two regions of fundamental functional importance: the anti-codon, which is responsible for specific mRNA codon recognition, and the 3' end, to which the tRNAs corresponding amino acid is attached (by aminoacyl-tRNA synthetases). tRNAs cope with the degeneracy of the genetic code in two manners: having more than one tRNA (with a specific anti-codon) for a particular amino acid; and 'wobble' base-pairing, i.e. permitting non-standard base-pairing at the 3rd anti-codon position. The record is from Rfam by way of RNAcentral. Lineage: Eukaryota; Metazoa; Chordata; Mammalia; Proboscidea; Elephantidae.
GUAGUUGUAGCCAAGUGGUAAGGCAAUAGACUAGAAAUCCAUCGGACAAACCCUGUGCAGAAUCUUCGCAACUACG